Molecule: unclassified non-coding RNA, 235 nt
Filed under: Hevea brasiliensis (rubber tree)
Lineage: Eukaryota; Viridiplantae; Streptophyta; Magnoliopsida; Malpighiales; Euphorbiaceae
Source: RNAcentral
AGAAAUUUCAUACUAGUUUCUCAUUUUAUUCUAAGAUAAGUUUAGUCUCUUAGAUCUAUACUAUAGUAAAAGGGGCUUAAUAUAUCCAUUUUGUUUUGCAUUGUAUUUUGUUUUAGCACUUUCUUUCUUUUUUUUGCAUAUUUUAUUUUGCAAAAUGUAAAAUUUGAAUAUCACAUAACUUUUUUAAUUAUAUUAUAAAAAUAAAAGAAAGAUUCAUAUUAUCUAUAUUUUUCUU